This 28-nucleotide non-coding RNA is filed under the name Mus musculus (house mouse). Lineage: Eukaryota; Metazoa; Chordata; Mammalia; Rodentia; Muridae. The record is from RNAcentral.
UGGAAAGGGGGAACUGCCUAUGGAUCCA